Molecule: long non-coding RNA, 817 nt
Organism: Eucalyptus grandis
Lineage: Eukaryota; Viridiplantae; Streptophyta; Magnoliopsida; Myrtales; Myrtaceae
Exons: 2
Source: RefSeq, a predicted model, not a curated record
UCGAAAAUAUAAAGAAUUAAUGAGGGUAGUUUUGGAAGAGAAAAAAUAAUUUCAGCAUUUGGCGGAAUGUUGAAAGCCCUACUAGCUUUGGGCUUUCAGAAUUUUGAAAGCAAGUUGAAAGCUGAAAGUCAGCUUCAAAGUUGAACCAAACGCAUCUUAAAGCUGACAUCUAGAUCUUGGAUCGGAUGAAUAUUGAUUAUUGCAUCACGAGUUCUGAGAAUUGUUGCUUAAUAUGGUUGCACCUUUCAAAUUCUGGUCACUAGGUAGGACACAAUUAUCCUUGCAGGAGCCAUGUAUGGAAGUGGCAGAUCUCAAAAUUGGGCUGCCAAGGGUCCGGUGCUCCUGGGGGUGAAAGCAGUGGUAGCCAAAAGCUUUGAGAGAAUACAUCGUGCUGGUAUGGGGGUCAUUCCACCGUGUUUCAAGCCAGCGAGGAUGCAGACAUUUUGGGAUUGACAGGGCACAACCAUUACACCAUAGACGUUCCCAGUCUAAUCAGUGAGAUGAGGCCUGCCCAGGAUGCGACUAUUACAACCAACACCAGGAAAUCAUUCACUUGCACCCUGUGAUUCGAUAUUGAGGUGAAGUGUCUGCAGCCUUUUUCUAGUUUUGUUCACUGCACUGCCACUCCAUUUAUUGAUUCCCAUAAUAUUACGGGUUUGAAUCGCUGAGAACUCCUGUUUUUGUGGUUUGUAUCUUGGAUUUGAUUGCUUGUAGGUAGAGCUGGCUGUUGAAAUAGUUUAUAUCAUAAAAAUAAAUUAUUGUUGGAAAUGAAAAGAUGUGAUUAUCAAAUAUGAAGAGAAGUGAUUGUUGACAUGAA